CCACCACUUGAGAUUCUACUAUAAAAUAAUAUUUUAGCAUCAAUGAAGUACCUACAACAAAGUAAACAAUGUUAGCGUUAAAAUUGCCAACCUACCUCUCCUCAAGAAUGAUUCGAGCCUGAUAGCAAAUUGAAUCCUAUUUUCCUCCUAGUUUCUUGCAACAUUCACUCUUAUGUAAGGACAUUGCAUCUUAUCUUCGUUAAUAAUCCUCCUUCCUUUUGAGUCCAUAUCCCAGAAACCAUGACAUUCAAUAUUUCCUUAGUCAAGAGCAUAAUUGGCAAGGUGGUCUGCUAAUGUAUUCCCUUCUCUGAAUAUUUUUGUGACCUUGAUGAUACUUUGUUCCUUCAAUCUUAAAAUCUCAUCAACAUGAUCAGUAAUACACUAAAGAGGCUUCCAUGAUUCCUCUAUAAUGUUCUUUAAUAGCAAGGAAUCUGUCUGCAGCCAUAUCUGAAAAUAAUUAAGAUUUUUGCACAUCUUCAAUGCAUCCACAAUAGCUACUGCUUCUGAUUCAUUAUUGGUUCCUUAAGAAAUAUCCCUUCCUUUUGCAUAUAUCAAAUCACCUACCUCAUCCCUUAUGCAGAAACCAAUUGAACUCCUCCCUGGGUUCCCUCUACAUGCUCCAUCUAUAUUUACUUUGAUCCACCCUCUUGGAGGAAAUUCCCAUAACACCUUUUCAUAUUUCAAUCGAGGUGUGUAUUUCUCCAUCAUUGUCAGUAAGUCCAGCCACUUGUUAGGAACAUGCAGUCCAGGUUUUUUUAGUUGGACUAGAGCUUGCAUAGUAGAUGACACCUGGUAAAUAACUCUGCUCACUGACACUGCUUCUCCAUAGUUGAAAUUGUUUCUUCUCUUCCAAAGUUCCCAUACAAUGCAUGCAGGAAGUAAUUCCAAACACUCCUAGCAGCAUUGGAUGUGAAGAACAAAUGUACUAAUGACUCCUCCUUGGGAUCAGCACAGCACCAACAUUUUGAUGGCAUAGAGUAUCAUAUUUUAUGCAAGAAAUCACCAAGUGGCAGUUUGGCUUUCCACACCUUCCACAGGAAGAAGGAUAUCUUGAAAGGUAAGCCUUUGACCCAUAUCAUCCUGUAACCUAAUCUUGAGUUUUCUCUUCUUCGCAGGUAAUCCCAUGCAGACUUCACUGAAAAAUGACCUCUUAUUUCAACCAUCCAGAAUGGUGUAUCUAACUCUGCACACACGUUUGGUGGUUUAAUAUUCUGCACAAUGUGGUUUGCCAAAUCUUCAGACACAUGGAAAUAUAAGGCUCCCAGCUUAGUCCAAUUGUCCAACCAGAAUUGAGCUGAUCCCAUUCUCGGUUUCCAGUAGAUUUGAUGCUCAAUCAAGUCCCUACAUUCUAGCAUUUUUCUCCACACGUGGGAUCCAUGCUUCCAAGGUAUAUGGCAGAUUUGGCUUUGUUCACCAGUUGACCAUAAGCUUGCAAAACCUCCAUGACAAGUCUCAGUUUGUGUGUGUCACACUCUUUGGCAAUUGCUGACCGCAAAAGAGAGCCUUAACCAUGCCUACUACAUCUUCUUCAAUGAUUUCCUUCAUUUUUGGUAAAAGGAUCCAGUGAAGCCAUCCGGUCCACCUGCUGAGUCCCCAUUCAACCACAUAACUGCUCUCUUCACUUCUUCAUUGGAAGUCAAAGCCAUCAAUCUUUCAUGUUGAUCACUCUCUACCAUUGAAGGAUUGACUUCAAAUUGCCUUUCAUGAACCAAGACCACCUCCUCCAGGAUUGCAAUCUUCUGGAAUAUAUCCCCAUAUGUAGCUCUGCUCCAGGUUUUAUGCUUAGUCCAGAAGUUAAGAAAUCUGAAUGACUUCUUAAUUAGAGGAGUUUCUAUAUCACAUUUCAGCAGCAUUGGGCAAUGAUCUGACCCAAUUUUGGACAGGUAUUGAUGCAGUGCCUAAAGUCAUCUACUUCAAUGAGAGAAACUGAUUUUACUAUAUCAAUAAGCCUUGGCGAGAGAUAACCCUGCUUGGCAACAUUAAGGAAAUUUUGUGUAGUGGAUUCCUCAUCCAUGUCUCUACCUUUAAGUUCUGUGUGGCCACCUUGGUCAUGUGCUUCUAUUGCUUCUUUUGAUGUCACAACAUCAUAUGCCUGAUUGUCACAGGAAUUAUGGACUUGGAGACAUUUUUUUGGACAGCACUGUUAAUGAGCUGAUUUGUACAAAGUUCUUCACUGUUUUCCACUUCUAAACAUGCAAACUUGUUUGUUGUCUGAA
Long non-coding RNA from Nicotiana tabacum (common tobacco), 2216 nucleotides. RefSeq lists it as uncharacterized. Lineage: Eukaryota; Viridiplantae; Streptophyta; Magnoliopsida; Solanales; Solanaceae. The record is from RefSeq and is a predicted model, not a curated record.